RNAcentral lists this non-coding RNA (29 nucleotides) under Mus musculus (house mouse). Lineage: Eukaryota; Metazoa; Chordata; Mammalia; Rodentia; Muridae. The record is from RNAcentral.
UGAGAACUUGAACUUGGCCUUCAUCAUCC